GACGAACGCUGGCGGCGUGCCUAAUACAUGCAAGUAGAACGCUGAAGGAGGAGCUUGCUUCUCUGGAUGAGUUGCGAACGGGUGAGUAACGCGUAGGUAACCUGCCUGGUAGCGGGGGAUAACUAUUGGAAACGAUAGCUAAUACCGCAUAAUAGCAGUUGUUGCAUGACAACUGUUUGAAAGGUGCAAUUGCACCACUACCAGAUGGACCUGCGUUGUAUUAGCUAGUUGGUGGGGUAACGGCUCACCAAGGCGACGAUACAUAGCCGACCUGAGAGGGUGGACGGGCAAACUGGGAACGGGGCACGGGCCAGGAUUCUUAGGGGGGGAAGAGGAGGGGAACUUCGGGAAUGGACGGAAGGCUGACCGAGGAACGGCGGGGGGGGGGAGGAGGGUUUCGGGUCGGUAAGCUCUGUUGUAAGGGGAGAAAGAGUGUGAGAGUGGAAAGUUCACACUGUGACGGUAUCUUACCAGAAAGGGACGGCUAACUACGUG
This 495-nucleotide ribosomal RNA is filed under the name uncultured bacterium. RNAcentral's name for it is "partial 16S ribosomal RNA". It matches the Rfam family "Bacterial small subunit ribosomal RNA", at positions 28 to 507 of the family's 1533-position model. The record is from RNAcentral.